This is a long non-coding RNA of Astatotilapia calliptera (eastern happy), 1401 nucleotides long. The record is from Ensembl. Lineage: Eukaryota; Metazoa; Chordata; Actinopteri; Cichliformes; Cichlidae.
UCACUAUGCCACCUUCAUUUUCUAAGCUUUGUUUCCAGGAGGGAAGUUCUUGUUCAAGCGUUUCUGGUCCCGGAACUGAAUUUGACUCUUGGUGGGAGCAACAACUGUUGUCAGCCGUUUUGGGUGCAUAAUGAAAAACAGAGGGUCUGGUAUCCUUUGCUGGUACCGAGGGUUAGCAGUAGGACGGCAGGGGGGCAUCUUCAGGUUUGUGCUGCUGUUCAUUGUCUGACUGUGAGUUGGGCAUUUUUCAUUGUCACUGACAUUUACAGGGUGGCUUCUUCUGUACGGCUUAAUAUGGUCAAUCCUGUACUGAUUGUUGCUCCUUUUUAAAUCUCACACAUUUGCCAGCGAUGUCCUGAAUGGUUUAGGGUCCUGAAAAAUCUGGAUCAAGUCUUCCUCCCUUCCUUCGACGUUUCAUGUUCCGGAGAAGAACUUGAUCUCCAACGUUGUACACGAGGUUUCUGUACUUCUUCUGGAUUCGUCUGGCAAAGGCUUGUUUUUUUUUUUUUUUUUUCAUUUAAUUCUAGUUUUGUUUUGCAUAUUUUGUUCAAUGUUUCCUGAUCUUGGUGGGACGCGUAGGCUUCUUCUAGUGAUUUGAUGUUUUUUUCUAAUUCCUGAAUAUUUUUGUUUUCUUCUUUCUUUUUGUGUGAUGAGAAAGAAAUUAUUUUACCUCUCAUCACAGCUUUCCCUGCUUCCCAUAGAACAGAAGCAGAUAUUCCGGGAGUGUCAUUAAAGUCUAAAUAUGAAGUCCAUUACUUUUUAAAAUAUUUAAUAAAGUCUUCAUCUUUAAGUAGUGAUAUAUUAAAUCUCCAGUUUUUACUAGGCGUAGUAUUAUUCUUGUGCAUUAGUGUUAAAGAUACAGGACCAUGAUCGCUGACAGCUAUAGGAUGAAUCUCAGUGUCUGAAAUGUCACUCAGCAGUGAGCUGCUGACCAAAAAAAUAAUCCAGAUGAGAGUAGGAGUGAUGGACAUGUGAGAAAAAAGUAUAUUCCUUACUGGUGGGGUGAAGGGAGCGCCAUGCAUCGCAAAGACCAAAGUCGCUCAUAUACUGUUUGAUUAUAUUUGUGGACUGCCAAUUACGCUGAGUUCCUGUUGUGUUGAGCCUAUCCAUGUCUUCAUUUAGUCCAAGGUUGAGGUCACCGCCAAGAAUGAGUGUGCAAUCAAGGUGUUCAGAGAGUGCACUAAAAAAUCCGUGGAAGAAUGAGGGUUCAUCAACAUUUGGACUGUAUAUACUUACAAUACAUAGUUUUUUGUUCAAUGUUGAUAGUUUAAUAAUUAGAAAUCUACCCUCUGGAUCUAUAACUGUAUCGAGUACUGUAAAAUUAACAUUUUUAUGUAUUAAAAUUGCUACUCCCCGUUGUCUAGAAUUAUAACAGGCUGCAAACACGUUAGGAAACUCAGG